UUUAUCAAAUCAUAUUACACACAUAAUCAUGGCUUUGAAAUCACCCCUAGCUAAGGGGGGUUUAGCCACUUAUGUUCACAACAAAACGAAAUAAAAUGAAUUUAAACAUUGGAAACAAAAGAAAGAAAACACCUAAACGUUCCAACGAUCCAAGUUGAACAGCAAGCACGUCCAAGCACUUUCCUUCCCUUCUUUUGCUACGGCACAAGGUGUUGGUGAGUGUUUGAAGGUUUAUUUGUAUGGAGGAAUGGAUGUGAAGAUGAAUGGAUGUGAAGAUGGAGGUUGUAUUGAAAUGGGGAUGAAUGAUCAAGCAAAAACUGAACUCUAUGGCUGCCACACUGAUAGGAGCAUAUUUAUGCGACUUAGUUAACUUGUUCUUGCUCAUUUACGUUGUGUUUUCUUAGUUAUUUUAGUGUUUAAAGUCAUUUUUGUGUGUUUUCAGAUUCUAAGGACAAAGUAUGCAAGAAGAUGCAUUUUGGAGGCAUUUGGAGCAGUUUCGGGUUUGGAAUGGAUAGCAAAUGCAUAGAGCAAGGUGGAUGGACGAAAUUUAAGACUAAAGAGGCUAAGAAUGUGAAGAAUUAUUGUACAAAGGAUAAAGAACUCAGCCACAAAAGGGUGUCACUCCACAAUGCACCUUCCUUGCCAUGGCCUCACCAUUGUAUUCCCUUUGGAUUCCCAUGCCAUGCUUAAUCACCCUUGUCCCCUACAUUAUUUCUGAUUUCAUGCCUCAAUACAUUUAAUUAUUACACUCAAUUGCUGCAUACCUCUUGUUCCCUUCACCCAUCAAAUUUCAUACAACUUUCACAACCAUUACAUGCACCAAUUGAUGCUCCAUCAGCCACCUUUGGAAUCCCAUGUCGUGUGCAACACAUGUUGCUGCACCUUUGACUCAUUUCUGAAACAUUUCACCUCCAUUUUCAUUUCUAUGCAAUGUGCACAAUCAUUCAUGCUCCCUAGCUGCAACACCACUCCAUUUUACCCUCCAUACUUUGCAUCAUUACUUCAUUUUCAUCCUUGGACCAUUGCACACCACAAAUUCACCCUCCUUGCUGUGCACUUCCUCCAUUGUCUAACCUGAUUCUCUAGGGUUUUUGGGGCCUAUAUAUACAUGUUUACACCCCUUGGCCAAGGGGGACCUCCCAUAUUCAUCAUUCAUCACAGAAAAUUCGUCCAUACACACCCUAGGCAGCAAACACCCCAAAAACACCAUUCUAGUGCCCAGAAAACAUAACAGCCACUCCACCUUCUUCCACCCUCUUUGCCGAGUUCUCCACCACCCUCUAACCAUCAAACACUCCUCCACACUCACCCUAAACAUUUCCAUACCAUUUCCCAUCCAUUCUACACCAUAAAACUACCCAAAACCUGUCCACAAACCAAUCUGCCGCAAGCAAGGGAAAGGAGAAAUCUUGGAUGCACUUGCUGCCAAGUUGGAGCAUUAUAGAUGUUUUCUUUCUUUGGAUUUUAAUGUCUAAUUCAUGUAAUCUUUGUUUUGCUUUAAGUAUGAUUGGCU
This 1513-nucleotide long non-coding RNA is filed under the name Malus domestica (apple). Its description in RNAcentral is "long non-coding RNA (MDOM_LNC018447)". The record is from RNAcentral. Lineage: Eukaryota; Viridiplantae; Streptophyta; Magnoliopsida; Rosales; Rosaceae.